RNAcentral lists this ribosomal RNA (1343 nucleotides) under uncultured bacterium. RNAcentral describes it as "16S ribosomal RNA". It matches the Rfam family "Bacterial small subunit ribosomal RNA", at positions 28 to 1378 of the family's 1533-position model. The record is from RNAcentral.
GACGAACGCUGGCGGCGUGCUUAACACAUGCAAGUCGAACGGAAAGGCCCUGCUUUUGUGGGGUGCUCGAGUGGCGAACGGGUGAGUAACACGUGAGUAACCUGCCCUUGACUUUGGGAUAACUUCAGGAAACUGGGGCUAAUACCGGAUAGGAGCUCCUGCUGCAUGGUGGGGGUUGGAAAGUUUCGGCGGUUGGGGAUGGACUCGCGGCUUAUCAGCUUGUUGGUGGGGUAGUGGCUUACCAAGGCUUUGACGGGUAGCCGGCCUGAGAGGGUGACCGGCCACAUUGGGACUGAGAUACGGCCCAGACUCCUACGGGAGGCAGCAGUGGGGAAUAUUGCACAAUGGGCGGAAGCCUGAUGCAGCAACGCCGCGUGCGGGAUGACGGCCUUCGGGUUGUAAACCGCUUUCGCCUGUGACGAAGCGUGAGUGACGGUAAUGGGUAAAGAAGCACCGGCUAACUACGUGCCAGCAGCCGCGGUGAUACGUAGGGUGCGAGCGUUGUCCGGAUUUAUUGGGCGUAAAGGGCUCGUAGGUGGUUGAUCGCGUCGGAAGUGUAAUCUUGGGGCUUAACCCUGAGCGUGCUUUCGAUACGGGUUGACUUGAGGAAGGUAGGGGAGAAUGGAAUUCCUGGUGGGGCGGUGGAAUGCGCAGAUAUCAGGAGGAACACCAGUGGCGAAGGCGGUUCUCUGGGCCUUUCCUGACGCUGAGGAGCGAAAGCGUGGGGAGCGAACAGGCUUAGAUACCCUGGUAGUCCACGCUGUAAACGGUGGGUACUAGGUGUGGGGUCCAUUCCACGGGUUCCGUGCCGUAGCUAACGCUUUAAGUACCCCGCCUGGGGAGUACGGCCGCAAGGCUAAAACUCAAAGGAAUUGACGGGGCCCCGCACAAGCGGCGGAGCAUGCGGAUUAAUUCGAUGCAACGCGUAGAACCUUACCUGGGUUUGACAUGGAUCGGGAGCGCUCAGAGAUGGGUGUGCCUCUUUUGGGGUCGGUUCACAGGUGGUGCAUGGCUGUCGUCAGCUCGUGUCGUGAGAUGUUGGGUUAAGUCCCGCAACGAGCGCAACCCUUGUUCACUGUUGCCAGCACGUUAUGGUGGGGACUCAGUGGAGACCGCCGGGGUCAACUCGGAGGAAGGUGGGGAUGACGUCAAGUCAUCAUGCCCCUUAUGUCCAGGGCUUCACGCAUGCUACAAUGGCUGGUACAGAGAGUGGCGAGCCUGUGAGGGUGAGCGAAUCUCGGAAAGCCGGUCUCAGUUCGGAUUGGGGUCUGCAACUCGACCUCAUGAAGUCGGAGUCGCUAGUAAUCGCAGAUCAGCAACGCUGCGGUGAAUACGUUCCCGGG